This 455-nucleotide ribosomal RNA is filed under the name uncultured bacterium. RNAcentral describes it as "bacterial SSU rRNA". It matches the Rfam family "Bacterial small subunit ribosomal RNA", at positions 340 to 786 of the family's 1533-position model. The record is from RNAcentral.
UACGGGAGGCAGCAGUGGGGAAUAUUGCACAAUGGGCGCAAGCCUGAUGCAGCCAUGCCGCGUGUAUGAAAAAGGCCUUCGGGUUGUAAAGUACUUUCAGUCGUGAGGAAGGUGUUAAGGUUAAUAACCUUAGCAAUUGACGUUAGCGACAGAAGAAGCACCGGCUAACUCCGUGCCAGCAGCCGCGGUAAUACGGAGGGUGCGAGCGUUAAUCGGAAUUACUGGGCGUAAAGGGCACGCAGGCGGUUAAUUAAGUUGGAUGUGAAAUCCCCGGGCUUAACCUGGGAAUGGCAUUCAAGACUGGUUAGCUAGAGUCUUGUAGAGGGGGUAGAAUUCCAUGUGUAGCGGUGAAAUGCGUAGAGAUGUGGAGGAAUACCGGUGGCGAAGGCGGCCCCUGGGACAAAGACUGACGCUCAUGUGCGAAAGCGUGGGGAGCAAACGAGGGAUUAGAUACC